Molecule: small nuclear RNA, 151 nt
Filed under: Phaseolus vulgaris (common bean)
Lineage: Eukaryota; Viridiplantae; Streptophyta; Magnoliopsida; Fabales; Fabaceae
Description: U1 spliceosomal RNA
Rfam family: U1 spliceosomal RNA
About the family: U1 is a small nuclear RNA (snRNA) component of the spliceosome (involved in pre-mRNA splicing). Its 5' end forms complementary base pairs with the 5' splice junction, thus defining the 5' donor site of an intron. There are significant differences in sequence and secondary structure between metazoan and yeast U1 snRNAs, the latter being much longer (568 nucleotides as compared to 164 nucleotides in human).
Source: Rfam by way of RNAcentral
UUACUUACCUGGACGGGGUCAAUGGUUGAUCAUGAAGGCCCAUGGCCUAAGGUAGUAACUUCCAUUGCACAUUGGAGGGGUAUGUCUGUCAAAAAUGACAGAGCCUACGUCAUAAUUUAUGGUAGUGGAGCUUGCGUUCGCGCAACUCCUU